AAUUAUUUAUUACAAGGGCAUACAGUUUAGAGGAUGUCAAUAUUUUUUCCCUCCUAGCACAAUGACCCUUAAUUCAAACCUGUUCAAAAGUAUCAGUAAGACAGAGUGUGAUAGUUACACUGUAACUUACCUUUGCUUCUGACCCAGUGGGAUUGUUAACAUCUCUAGCUUCUCUGACUUAGAUGGUCACACUCAAAAGUCCUGUAGUGAAGACUGCCUAAAGAGGCAGGAAGCAAAUUGUGUUUCAGUUCAGGCUUCUGUGGUUGACAGUCACAUUGAUUACACAUUAUAGAUAGCAUCUAUAUGUCUCUAGAAUUCGUGUUCUCUCCGAAUUUAUCAUAGUUACAUAAUGGUGCUGUUAACUGAGGGGGUGUCGCUUGGGUCUGGCUUCUUUGUCUGAAGGAGGUCAUACAAUUGAAGAAUUGUGGGCUCUUACACAAUUAGAGUUUUUAGUCAAGGCUUUGGAAUAUGGUUCAGUGCUUGCCUAGCAUGUCCAAUCCCCAUUGAAACACACACACAUGAGAACAUAUAUAUUCUUAAGAAACAAGUCUCUGUACACUCUAGGCUGACCUCUUCUUACUCUAGCCUCUUUUUUUUUUCUUUUUCUUUUGAGAUAGGGUCUCCUAUUGCCUAGUUAGCCUUCAUUUCAUGAUCCUUUUAUUCUGAAUGCCCCAGGCACCUGACUUCAGACUUGUCUUUCUACUAAAAAUUGUUGUGCCUGCUUUCCACAAGACUACAUAUCCCAUCGUACAUUGAGCGAUUUAAGAGUUGCGUGGAUUUCUGCUGUGGUGUCUGCUUUUAGUUGGCUGAGAAGAUAAAGUCAUCUUCCACAUUGCCAGUAGGAAAGAUUGGUUUUCUGAGGAGGCAGUUUAAAGUGAAGGAAGUCUCCUGUUAGUAAUUUCAUUAUUUCUACAUACUCAUCUAUUUUAACAGUUGUAAAAAUUUUUUUAAAUUUGUUAGUUUGCUUGUUUUUCUGAGACAAAGUCUUAAGUAGCUCAGGUUGGGCUCGAAUUCCUUACCCUUGAGUCUCCCCAAAUGCUGAGCGUAUAGCCACCACACCAAGCUCUGGAGAUUGAUUAAUUGAUUGACUGAUUUACUCUUUUCCCUUGCAUAUAACAGCAGUACCAUCCCCUGUUAGCAAAUAGAAAUUUUUUUUUAAGGAUGUGCAACCACUACCCAGUUUUUUUUUUAAGGUUUAUUUAUAUCUAAGUACACUGUAGCUGUCUUCAGACACACCAGAAGAGAGUGCCAGAUCUCAUUACGGAUGGUUGUGAGCCACCAUGUGGUUGCUGGAUUUGAACUCAGGACCUUCAGUAGAGCAGUCAGUGCUCUUAACCACUGAGCCAUCUCUCCAGCGCGCAAAUAGAAAUUUUUGAGAUAGGGUUUUAUUGUAUAGCUCUGGCUGACCUGGACCUGAUCCACCCGCCUCUGCGUACUGAGAUUAGAGGUGUGUACCACCACAUCAAUCGAGAAAUGUAAUAGUAAAAUGGGGACUGGAAAGCUGGCUCAGCAGUUAAGAGCACUGGCUUUUGCAAAGGAAACUGAAGAGUGUGGCCUUUUGGCCUUCCUGGGCACUCGCAUUCAUGUGCACACACCCAUAACUUGAAAUAAGUGCUCUAAGUGGUAGGGGUCAAAAUGGAGUCUGGAACUUAGUACAGUAGACAAAGAGCUUGGGUACCUCAACCUGGGCUCUAGGUUCCAUCUUCAUGUAGAUCUACCUCUUUAACUUUGUAAGUGAAAGUGAAAGAUUUCUUUGCAGGCCACUGUUAAGGUUAUGAGGUUUUGUUUUAUUUGAAACAAGAUUUUAUGUACUGGAGGCUGGCCAUGGGCUGUCAUCCUGUCUUCACCACCUAAAUACUUGGAUUACAGGUGUGAAUUACACUGUUUGCUAACCUGUGUAUUUGUAGAGAUAUGAGUAUCUUAAUUUCUCUGUGAGAAAUAGCGGUGUUUAAAUGUUUUAAGUCUUAAACAUCUACUUGUGUUGUAGAUUUUUAUGAUACUCUUUUCCCCUGUAGUACUAAGGAUCAAGCAUAUGACUUUAACUUGUGCUUGGCGCUGAGUACUAUGCUACCCUCUACAACAGUAACAAUAAAUAACACUUGUUAUGCAGUUCAUGGUGCUAGUGAUUCUUGCCUUCCCAGGGCUUUAGAAUUACAGCUGGGUGACCAUUACUGCCUAGGAUUUACAUUGGAUGCUGGAGAUUGAAACUCUGGUCCUUAGUGUCUGCAGUACAAGCACUUUACCCAGUGAGCUAUGUCUCCAACCUCUAAAAUUAAUGUUUAAUGCUUUUUUUUUUUUUUUCGAGACAGGGUUUCUCUGUGUAGCCUUGGCUGUCUGGACUCACUUUGUAGACCAAGCUGGCCUCGAACUCAGAAAUCCACCUGCCCCUGCCUCCCGAAUACUGAGAUUAAAGGCGUGCGCCACCACGCCCGGCGCUAAUUUUUUUUUUUUUAACUUAUCUGUUUUGAGACAUGGUUUCACUAUGUAGCUCUGGCUGUACUGGAACUCACUAUGUAGACCAGGCAGGUAUUAAACUCACAGGGAUUCAUCUGCCCCUGUCUCCUGAGUGCUGCAAUUAGUGUUCUCCAUCACAUGUAGCCUAGUGUUUGUUAUUGGUUGGUUGGCUGGCUGGUUUUAGUCUAUUCUUCUCUGUAUCUUAACUUGGAUCUCCUUUCUUAUUCCCAGUCAUCUCUUCAGCAUUUGAGAUUUCAUUCCAACUUUGUCCUAUAUCUCCAUCUUGAAUUCAUUCUCUUUUUCCUCGCCCUUCCCUUUUCCUCUCUCUCCCUCUCUUUUAUCCCUCCCCCCAGGUAAAGGGGUGGUUUAUAAGCCUGGUUUGGCCUUAAGCUUAUGAGACUGUCUCAAAAUGGGCUGGUGAAAUGGCUGGUAUUAUGGGUAUGUGCCUUUGGGGAUUCUCAUCAUCAGCCAUACAUAAUUUGUUUUAAUGCUCUUUUUUCUUUUUGGAGGCUAGAUAUCACUGUGUAGACCAGGCUGGCUUCAAACUCAGAGAUCCACCUGCCAUCACACCUGGUUUUCCCUGACUAUUUUUAUGUGUAUUUAUAAAGUGGUCAAUUUUUUUCUCUUAUUUUUCAGGAGAGGUGAGGUAAAGAUGUUAACUUCCGCUUUACUGCUACAAUAGAGAAAAAACGGCAACAGCCAGGCUUAGUGUUAUGCCUCUUAGCUCAGGGUUUCAGAAGCUGAGGAAAGAAGACUGAAAGUUUGAAAAAGAUCCUGCCCCAAGAAAAGAUGAAAUCAAAUUCUUUUGAUACUUAAGCAUUAUCUGCUAUGUGAAUCUAGAUGACUGUUACCUCUCUGUUUCCUUUCAAGUGCUAUAUGUUGUUAACUGUAAUCAUAACACGUGUUUCUUGCUUUCAUGAUUGUCUGAAAACAGACUUGUUAUGUAUUAGCUCUGCUAUUCACCUUACUUGAAUAAGCUUUCCUCUCUGAAGCCUUACUUAAAGACGCAAACCAGAUAACAUAGCCUUAAAUGUAUGCUUUUUUAACCCUUGGAAACUGGGUUUAAAACACUUAAGAGGGAGAGGAAGAAAAAUUGCUAUAAGUUCUACGACAGCCAGGGCUACCUAGUGAGAGUAUGUCUUGAGCAAGUGAGCUGAACACAUGAAUCAUCGUCAAGUGCCUUCUCUCUCCUUUCAAUAUAACUCAGCCUAACCAGCUGGAGGGCUACAUAGAAUGAAGUGUACAAGGUGCUGAUUUAAUAAUAGAUACACUAAGCCAAGGGAGAAGGAGUAUCAUGGCCUGUUGGGCUAUAUAGUUUCAAGAUAGCCUGGAGCUACUGAGUGGGACCCAGUGUUUAAAGGAAAACAAAACAAAACAAAAUCUUACCUGAGUUAGAAAACAGGUGGUAGAAAGCUUAGUUUACAGUUAGGUGGUUCACUUGACCAUGAGAACUGAUCAAAGCAUAGGCGGUGUACUUUCCCCAGAGGGCUCAGAGAAACACCUGCUCUUCUAUCCAGAAUGGCCUAACAGUCCCAUGGGUGUACUUCCCGUGCGUUUGGGUGUAUGACAUGUUCUUGUCAGUAUACAGCUAGCACCAGCUGUAUAUUAUCUCCUUAAAGGCCCAGUGGCUUGCAGAGGGAUCUCUUUGAGAAGGUUGAUGAGUUCUGCCUUCCCCAUAGGCAGCGAAACUAGAAAACAGAAGGAAAAAAGACAGGCGAGGUGGUGCAGUUCCCCAAAAUUUGGGAGAUGGUGGGUGGAUCUUUGGCUUCAAAGUAUUACUCUGAAAAGUAAUCUAGAUAAAGAGUUUUAAGAGACUGUCUCAAAAAGCAGGCUGGUGAGAUGGCUCAGUGAUUAAAAGUGAAUGCUGCUUUUGCGAGGACCCCAAUUCCAUUCCCAGCAUGUGUAUUUGGUGCUUCACAAUUGCCUGUAACUCUAGUUCCAAAGGAGUUACACAAAAUUUUAAAAGG
Molecule: long non-coding RNA, 4421 nt
Filed under: Mus musculus (house mouse)
Lineage: Eukaryota; Metazoa; Chordata; Mammalia; Rodentia; Muridae
Description: long non-coding RNA chr2:121415022-121419443
Source: RNAcentral